RNAcentral lists this ribosomal RNA (180 nucleotides) under Triticum aestivum (bread wheat). Its description in RNAcentral is "partial small subunit ribosomal RNA". The record is from RNAcentral. Lineage: Eukaryota; Viridiplantae; Streptophyta; Magnoliopsida; Poales; Poaceae.
AUGGCGGACCUGAGCAGGCGCGCGGGCCACCGCGGCCUGACGCUGGUGGUGCCGGCGGGGCGGUGGCUCACGGGGCCCUUCAACCUCACCAGCCACUUCACCCUCUUCCUCCACCGCGGCGCUGAGAUCCUCGCAUCCCAGGUGCGCCCCUCUUCUUCAGUUACCCAUGGGAUUAAUUAG